CAAUAGCGUAUAUUAAAGCUGUUGCGGUUAAAAAGCUCGUAGUUGGAUUUCUGUCAAGGACAACUGGUCCGCCCUCCGGGUGAGCACAUAGUUUGGUCUUGACAUCUUGCUGGAGGCUGUUGCUGCACUUGGCUGUGUGGCGCAGUGUUCAGCACUUUCACUUUGAGGAAAUUGGAGUGUUUCAAGCAGGCACAUGCCUUUGGACACAGUAGCAUGGAAUAAUUAGAUUGGGCUUUUGCUCCAAUUUGUCGGUUUCUGGAGCUGAGGUGAGUAUUAAUGGGGAUUGUUGGGGGCAUCCGAAUUUAGCCGUCAGAGGUGAAAUUCUUGGAUCUGCUAAAGACGGACAACUGCGAAAGCGUUUGCCCAGGAUGUUUUCAUUGA
This 381-nucleotide ribosomal RNA is filed under the name uncultured eukaryote. RNAcentral's name for it is "partial 18S ribosomal RNA". It matches the Rfam family "Eukaryotic small subunit ribosomal RNA", at positions 592 to 976 of the family's 1831-position model. The record is from RNAcentral.